GACGAACGCUGGCGGCGUGCUUAACACAUGCAAGUCGAACGGAAAGGCCCUGCUUGCAGGGUACUCGAGUGGCGAACGGGUGAGUAACACGUGGGUGAUCUGCCCUGCACUUCGGGAUAAGCCUGGGAAACUGGGUCUAAUACCGGAUAGGAGCCAUUUUUAGUGUGAUGGUUGGAAAGUUUUUUCGGUGUAGAGAUGAGCUCGCGGCCUAUCAGCUUGUUGGUGGGGUAAUGGCCUACCAAGGCGGCGACGGGUAGCCGGCCUGAGAGGGUGGACGGCCACAUUGGGACUGAGAUACGGCCCAGACUCCUACGGGAGGCAGCAGUGGGGAAUAUUGCACAAUGGGCGAAAGCCUGAUGCAGCGACGCCGCGUGGGGGAUGACGGCCUUCGGGUUGUAAACUCCUUUCGCUAGGGACGAAGCUUUUUGUGACGGUACCUAGAUAAGAAGCACCGGCUAACUACGUGCCAGCAGCCGCCGCCG
Molecule: ribosomal RNA, 482 nt
Filed under: uncultured bacterium
Lineage: Bacteria
Description: partial 16S ribosomal RNA
Rfam family: Bacterial small subunit ribosomal RNA
Source: RNAcentral